AAAUUAAAUAAAUUAAAUAAAAUGUUAAGAAAUGUAAAAAGUAUUUUUUGAUAUUUUUAUGAACAAAUAAAAUAUUUUUAUUAAUUAAAAACAAAACAGAAAAAUAAAAUAAGAAAUAAAAAGAAAGAAUGAAAAAUAAAUGGUAUUGGAAUAAUGGGCCAGACGAGUGGUGGGGUGCGAACAGCAGGGUGGAAAGCCCAGUCCAGUGAAAUAUUCCAACGUGACACCAUAAUAAAAUGUUUCAUUAAAUAAACCAUGUCACAUGAAC
This 268-nucleotide long non-coding RNA is filed under the name Lathyrus oleraceus (garden pea). Its description in RNAcentral is "Pisum sativum (pea) long non-coding RNA (PSAT_LNC038126)". Lineage: Eukaryota; Viridiplantae; Streptophyta; Magnoliopsida; Fabales; Fabaceae. The record is from RNAcentral.